CUCAACCUCUAAAGUCCCAGAUCUGGCUGAGGAGACUGUGGAUCAUCCUGAGUCCUGAGGAAAUUUAAAGUUGGCAUCACUUCCCACUCCUGACAUGUAGAUGACACUGUCAUCCCCUCGAAGAACGGCAAGAAAAUUCUUCGAUUUCACCUUCUGUAAGACAAUAAUUAUGCUCAGAUAUAGAUUAAAUCAUGAAAGGAUGUUUCACAUUAAUGAAAAGCAAAGAAGUUACAUUUCCA
Danio rerio (zebrafish) is the source of this 239-nucleotide non-coding RNA. The record is from RefSeq and is a predicted model, not a curated record. Lineage: Eukaryota; Metazoa; Chordata; Actinopteri; Cypriniformes; Danionidae.